GGGUUUUUUUCGCGUCAAUUUCAAAAGUUUGCCGUAACGAACUCAUUUGCUACUGUUGACAGACGGACAUACAAAAGCAUGGACGGACAUCUUUAUACCAUUAUAUUUUCCUGACUAAGAUAAACGUAAAGAAAUGAUUCCAUCUAUUUUGUGAAUUCAUUAUUUCUGAAUAUUUAUCUUUCGUCCCCUUAUUAGAUAUAAGGAAAUUG
Molecule: long non-coding RNA, 209 nt
Filed under: Mytilus galloprovincialis (Mediterranean mussel)
Lineage: Eukaryota; Metazoa; Mollusca; Bivalvia; Mytilida; Mytilidae
Source: RNAcentral